GUGUUUGAAAUUCUUGGCACUUAUGCAUUUGAAAUUAGAUUUUAUAAAACAAUAAACUCUUUGGGUAGAGACAACAGUUUGUGGGUAUCUGAGCCGGAAACCCUCACGAGACAAAACUCGUCCACUAGGGCCACCUAGGGGUUUAAAGCCUUAUUGCAUACGGUAAAUGCAAUCGCGAUUCCUGCGAAAGUGAGUUAGUUUUUUUUAUUUUA
This 212-nucleotide long non-coding RNA is filed under the name Phoenix dactylifera (date palm). Its description in RNAcentral is "long non-coding RNA (PDAC_LNC017513)". The record is from RNAcentral. Lineage: Eukaryota; Viridiplantae; Streptophyta; Magnoliopsida; Arecales; Arecaceae.